RNAcentral lists this ribosomal RNA (408 nucleotides) under uncultured bacterium. RNAcentral describes it as "partial 16S ribosomal RNA". It matches the Rfam family "Bacterial small subunit ribosomal RNA", at positions 28 to 526 of the family's 1533-position model. The record is from RNAcentral.
GACGAACGCUGGCGGCGUGCUUAACACAUGCAAGUCGAACGAAGUGGCGAACGGGUGAGUAAUACGUAGGUAACCUGCCCUCGUUUUUGGGAUAAGCCUUGGAAACGGGGUCUAAUAACGAAUAAAGGGGGAUGUGCUCGCGGCCUAUCGGGUUGUUGGUGGGGUGAUAGCCUACCAAGGCGGUUACGGGUAGCCGGUCUGAUAGGGUGACCGGCAACGUUGGGACGGCGAUACGUCCCAGAGGCCUACGGGGGGGAGCAGUGGGGGAUAUGGCACAAUGGUCGAUAGACUGAGGCAGCGACGACGCGUGGGGGAUGAAGGCUUUCGGGUUGUAAUCCUCUUUCGGUAGCGAACGGGUAGGUGGAGAAGAAGCGCCGGCUAACUACGUGCCAGCAGCCGCGGUAAUAC